This 1644-nucleotide long non-coding RNA is filed under the name Gossypium barbadense (sea-island cotton). Its description in RNAcentral is "long non-coding RNA (GBAR_LNC010062)". Lineage: Eukaryota; Viridiplantae; Streptophyta; Magnoliopsida; Malvales; Malvaceae. The record is from RNAcentral.
AAAGAGGAAGCCAUGCCUCGAAUCGACAUGGGUUUUGUUAGGUUCCUUGACCCAUUGUUGACCAAGCUCCAGUAGGUUGAUGUGGAGGCUUUGUUUCUUUGAAUAUGAAGGAAUUUGUUGCAUGGAAGCUGAGAGAAAAACCCAGGUCGGUUUAGAGGAAAAAAGCUCAGUUUCGCCAUAUGGGAUGCAACUGCCAUUGUUUGAGUUUUCCUUCAAAAUUUUUCUCCUCUUUUUGUCUCCAAUCUCCUCUUUCAGAAGCAAUAUUCGAAAUUUUCUUUUAUUAGUUUUAUUAUUAUUAUUAUUAUUAUUGUUGUUUCGGGCUGCUCUUUAUCGGAUAUGUUUAUACAAGUGGGCUGGGUUUUGGUUGUUUGCUUGCAAAUUGAAAACCUGACUGACCCAAAACUGUGGGGUUUGAAUUCUUCGAUUGGUUCAAAUAUAAUAGUUUUUCAUUUUUCUCCUCAAAAUCUUACUGCAAAUUUGGGAAUAACAUAUCAGCAUAGUGAAAGGACUUAAAUCAAAAUACACCGAAAAAAACCAGUCCUAGCUUCUAAGAGGUUGCUGCUGGUGCAAUGAUUUUCUCCCUCCGGGACUUGAAAAAAGUCAACAUUUUGUGACGGUCGGGAAGGUUGUCCUUGAUCAACGGCAGUUGCUUAAACCUUUCAGCCCAUGCCUGCAAUCGAGGGAAGCUUUGAGGUCCCAGCAGUUCAACCCCAGCUGCUUCGGCCAACACAUCCAACCAACACGCUAUCCAUCCAUAGGCUAUAUCGGUUAAUCCAAGCUCUUCACCCCCAAAAAACUCUUUAUCUCCAAGCCCAUUCUCUUCUAUAGUUUUCAGCAGUUCCUCAGCUUCUUUUGUGCCCUUCACUUGCUCUUCUCCCACAGUAUGAAAGAAUUUGUAAAAUAUAGGUGCCUUAUCUUCUCCAAACUUGAUCCAGAAGCGAGCCACGCUCCUUUCAUGAGGAUCUAGAGGGAGCAAAGGGUUUUGAGGCCAUGUGUCUUCUAUGUAUUCAAGGAUAACAAUGGAUUCUGGUACUGGUUUUCCAGCAUGAACCAGCACCGGGAUUUGCUUGUGGAUUGGGUUACACCUAAGAAGCAACUCGCUCUUGUUGAAAAGAUCCUCUUCUACGUACUCAUACUUCACCCCUUUGUGUUUUAGAGCCCAUAAAACUCUGUAACUAAAAGGACUAGCCCAGUUUCCUAGCAAAUUCAGUUCUUCCAUUUUUUUGACAAAACUUGAAGCUUCUGCAAUUAUGUUUUAUAUGGCAGAAAGUUUCUUGCACUACACGUUCUAGUCUCGAUACCAAAGUCAGAAUUUUGUGUGUGUGUGUUUUUUUUAUUGUCGUCAUUUAGACCAACUGUUCAUAUCUGGUUAGUUGCUUAACACAAUAUUGAUUUUAGCCUCUUGUGAAUGUUGAGAAAUGGUCAAUGAUUUGCUCUUGGCUAAUGAUUUCUUUAAUUUUCUCCACUGCAGGUCCAAAGACUCCCAAGUUUUAGCUUUGGAAAUUUGUGAUAGAUCAAAGCAAUAUGAAGCCAAUGAGAAGCAUCCCAGAUCUCACAUCUUUCUCUAUGUUCACUAAAAUGAAUAUUUUCUUUUAAGCCCAAAAUUAAUUUCCCUCAUAUCUUACACGUUAUAAACUAUUCCGC